Molecule: ribosomal RNA, 470 nt
Filed under: uncultured bacterium
Lineage: Bacteria
Description: partial 16S ribosomal RNA
Rfam family: Bacterial small subunit ribosomal RNA
Source: RNAcentral
GACGAACGCUGGCGGCGUGCUUAACACAUGCAAGUCGAACGGUGAACGAGGGAGCUUGCUCCCUCCGGAUCAGUGGCGAACGGGUGAGUAACACGUGGGCAAUCUGCCCCGAACUCUGGGAUAAGCGUUGGAAACGACGUCUAAUACCGGAUACGACGCGGGAGGGCAUCCUCUCCGCGUGGAAAGAACUUCGGUUCGGGAUGAGCUCGCGGCCUAUCAGCUUGUUGGUGAGGUAACGGCUCACCAAGGCGACGACGGGUAGCCGGCCUGAGAGGGUGACCGGCCACACUGGGACUGAGACACGGCCCAGACUCCCACGGGAGGCAGCAGUGGGGAAUAUUGCACAAUGGGCGCAAGCCUGAUGCAGCAACGCCGCGUGAGGGACGACGGCCUUCGGGUUGUAAACCUCUUUUAGCAGGGAAGAAGCGAAAGUGACGGUACCUGCAGAAAAAGCACCGGCUAACUACGUG